Molecule: long non-coding RNA, 1249 nt
Filed under: Vulpes vulpes (red fox)
Lineage: Eukaryota; Metazoa; Chordata; Mammalia; Carnivora; Canidae
Description: lncRNA (ENSVVUG00000011518.1)
Source: RNAcentral
CAGGAUGUCUCAGUUACUUUCUCUAUGCUGGACUGUGCUAGACCCUGGGAGGCUGCCUUCAGGCCCACUGAGCUGGGCCCCUCCCUCAGCCUUCUACUUUACCUCUAGCCUGAUGUGCGCAGUACAACAUGAACCAUGGUUUUCCCAGAGAGACAUUAAAAGCGUUUUCAGCCUGCACCUGAGGCAGUCAGUUACAGACUUUGGACCUGGAAUUCUCCUAAACAUAUCUGGGUGUUUCUACUGAUGUGCUUUCCUCUGAAGUUCACCUCUCAGCUGGGGAUGGAGAAAGCCACCACUCUCCUGGUUCCACCUCUCAGCAGCAGGCCGACCACAUCCUUCACAAGGCAGAUUUGGAACUCAAGGUCGAUCAAUGACUUGUUCUUUCAAAACUCUACUAGUCUCCUUUUCCCAGAGACUAUUUGCCCAGGGGCAGGCCAACUCCACCUGGAAGAAGGACUAUGGAAGGUAAAGAUAAAUCGUUUAAAAAGGAAAAUAUAUCAGGUGAUAUUUCAAAACAAUUCUACAUCAGAUUCAUUUGUGACUUUAUUGUCAGAACUGCAUUUUUUUUGAGAGCUUCUCUAACCAGUUAAGCUUUGUGUUUGUGUUUUUAGGGUGAAAGAAUUGCUUUGUUUUUGUUUUUGCUUGUCUUAGAUGACCUUGAAUUAACUUUACAUGAUGAAUACAGCUAUUUGAGGUUCCAGUGAAUUAGCCUUACUCUUUGAACAAGUUCUCAAGAGCGGCCCUGGAAGGCAUUCAGAAACCCUCCAGAGGCAUUCUCAAAAAAGCCCUUUUCUAUCAAGCUGAAAUCCCAAGGCCAGACUCAUCUUCCACGACAUAACUUUUUCCUAUCUCUGGAGGGAAUCUCUGCCUUCCCAGGCAACUGUUUGUAUCCUUCAAUACCCUCCACCAGCACUCCUGCAGGUUGCAACAAAGGAAUCUUCAUUGUUUCUCCUGGGGAGCCUCAGUCAAAGAGGACUUCUGAUGGCCUAUUCCGACUUCCCAGAAUUCUUGAGAAGGGUAUACAAAUACUACUCUGUGGCAGUGAAUUUCCUCUAGAAUUCUUCUAUAUUCUUUUUCUCAGAGAUUUUAUUCAUUUAUUUGAGAGAGAGAAAACAGGGGAAGAGGGAAUAGCAGAGGGAGAGGAAGAAGCAGACUCCCCACUGAGCAGGGAGCCCAAUAUGGUGCUCCAUCCCAGGACCCUGAGAUCAUGACCUGAGCUGAAGGCAGACAUUUAACCAACUGAGUCAUC